GCAGUAGGGAAUCUUCCGCAAUGGACGAAAGUCUGACGGAGCAACGCCGCGUGAGUGACGAAGGUUUUCGGAUCGUAAAACUCUGUUGUGAGGGAAGAACAAGUACCAACUAACUACUGGUACCUUGACGGUACCUCACCAGAAAGCCACGGCUAACUACGUGCCAGCAGCCGCGGUAAUACAUAGGUGGCAAGCGUUGUCCGGAAUUAUUGGGCGUAAAGCGCGCGCAGGCGGUCCCUUAAGUCUGAUGUGAAAGCCCACGGCUCAACCGUGGAGGGUCAUUGGAAACUGGGGGACUUGAGUGCAGAAGAGGAAAGUGGAAUUCCAUGUGUAGCGGUGAAAUGCGUAGAGAUGUGGAGGAACACCAGUGGCGAAGGCGACUUUCUGGUCUGUAACUGACGCUGAGGCGCGAAAGCGUGGGGAGCAAACAGGAUUAGAUACCCUGGUAGUCCACGCCGUAAACGAUGAGUGCUAAGUGUUAGGGGGUUUCCGCCCCUUAGUGCUGCAGCUAACGCAUUAAGCACUCCGCCUGGGGAGUACGGCCGCAAGGCUGAAACUCAAAGGAAUUGACGG
RNAcentral lists this ribosomal RNA (573 nucleotides) under uncultured Bacillota bacterium. RNAcentral describes it as "bacterial SSU rRNA". It matches the Rfam family "Bacterial small subunit ribosomal RNA", at positions 351 to 916 of the family's 1533-position model. The record is from RNAcentral. Lineage: Bacteria; Bacillati; Bacillota.